UUCGAAUCCCGCACGACCCACCAUUUCAAAAGUAAAAAGAGAUAGGUAAGACGUGUGGGUGAGAACCGUCAAGGUUCGAGUCGAGCGAAAGCGAGACAACGUUGCGAAGCAACGGCCCGAAGGGCGAGGCGUAAGCCGAGUCAUCCCGCACGACCCACCA
Molecule: small RNA, 160 nt
Filed under: Hafnia alvei ATCC 51873
Lineage: Bacteria; Pseudomonadati; Pseudomonadota; Gammaproteobacteria; Enterobacterales; Hafniaceae
Description: RtT RNA
Rfam family: RtT RNA (bases 39-160)
About the family: This family represents a bacterial cis-regulatory element known as RtT RNA.
Source: RNAcentral